RNAcentral lists this ribosomal RNA (383 nucleotides) under uncultured organism. Its description in RNAcentral is "bacterial SSU rRNA". It matches the Rfam family "Bacterial small subunit ribosomal RNA", at positions 45 to 433 of the family's 1533-position model. The record is from RNAcentral.
UGCCUAACACACGCAAGUCGCACGCGAAAGGGGGCAACCCCGAGUAGAGUGGCGGACGGGUGAGAAAUGCUUGGGAAUCUACCUCGUAGUGGGGGACAACCUAGGGAAACUUAGGCUAAUACCGCAUACGACCUACGGGAGAAAGCGGAGGACCGCAAGGCUUCGCGCUAUGAGAUGAGCCCAAGUCCGAUUAGCUAGUUGGUGAGGUAAAGGCUCACCAAGGCAACGAUCGGUAGCUGGUCUGAGAGGACGACCAGCCACACUGGGACUGAGACACGGCCCAGACUCCUACGGGAGGCAGCAGUGGGGAAUAUUGGACAAUGGGGGCAACCCUGAUCCAGCGACGCCGCGUGGGUGAAGAAGGCCUUCGGGUUGUAAAGCCC